UAAAAUUUUUCAUAUAUUGAAUUUAUUUUAAUAUAUAAAAUUUAUACAAAAAUGUAUUCAAAACCCACACACUUUAUAACCAUAAAAAAAACGUUAUAUCUUUGUAUAUAAUAUAAAAAAA
This 121-nucleotide unclassified non-coding RNA is filed under the name soil metagenome. RNAcentral describes it as "partial internal transcribed spacer 1". The record is from RNAcentral.